Molecule: ribosomal RNA, 226 nt
Filed under: uncultured bacterium
Lineage: Bacteria
Description: partial 16S ribosomal RNA
Rfam family: Bacterial small subunit ribosomal RNA
Source: RNAcentral
GAGUAACGCGUAUACAAUUUACCUUUUACAGGAGGAUAGCCCAGAGAAAUUUGGAUUAAUACUCCAUGGCAUUACGAGAUCGCAUGGUUUUGUAAUUAAAGCUUCGGUGGUAGAAGAUGAGUAUGCGUCCUAUUAGCUAGAUGGUGAGGUAACGGCUCACCAUGGCAACGAUAGGUAGGGGUCCUGAGAGGGAGAUCCCCCACACUGGUACUGAGACACGGACCAG